Molecule: long non-coding RNA, 893 nt
Organism: Mercenaria mercenaria
Lineage: Eukaryota; Metazoa; Mollusca; Bivalvia; Venerida; Veneridae
Exons: 2
Source: RefSeq, a predicted model, not a curated record
CAAAUUGUUUUUGAAAUGGAAUAUAACAAAAAGGAAUACCAUUUGAAAUUCAAUAUUGAAGAUGAAAGUAAAUCUUUUGUGAAACCUUAUGCAAGGAGAGAAUGGAUAUAAUUCAUUUAAACUUGCAAACUAUAAUCAUACCCUUCUUUGGAAUACAUAAUAUCUUUAAAGAGAUACAGAUUAUGUAACCUGCAUAAUAAACAUCAUUAACUGAACGAGAUGAGGACCUAAUUGCUGUUUGAAGAUAUCUGGUCUGAAAUAUCUAUGAAGUCAGAAUAAUGAUGAGCUGUCUCAGGUGAUGACAUGUGAAAUAAGAUAUGAGCAUACUUAUACACAAUACUAACAAGUAAAUACCUAACAUUUUAAUAAGAUAAUUUCAAGGUGACUGUACUUAACAGGUUUUUGUAUGGAAGGUAUAUAAACUAUUAAUGCCAGUUGUGAUGCAGUACCGUCCUGCAGAAUUUGAAGUCUCCAGAAGUUGUGUUAAAGUGGAACAAUAAUAUCUUUAAACAUUUUUCCUUUACGAUUUUGUUAAAAUACAUGCAGUAACUCUUUGCAAUAACUCCGUAUGACUUUGAUUCCAUGUUCGCAAUACUGAUAAUUGACUUUACUUUGAAAUUAUAUGAGACAGUUGGUAUAAACAGUAUAUACGAAACUACAUUGUAGUUAUUCAUACAGACUAUUUCUUUUGAUGUUGUAUUUUAGUUGUUCAAGAAUAUGGCUUUAAAACUGUGGCAAAUUGUGGGGGAAAAUUGUCAUUGGGUUUCAGUGUGAAUACUUGUGUUUUAAAUACUAGUACAAGAUUAUUAUUUUUGCCAUUGAAUUACAUUUUAAGAAAGCAAAAUGUAGUAGUAGUAAUUGCCACAAAUUUCGAAUAUAAUCUAUAAAAGUUA